GCCAGGAGUGGUGGCACACACCUGUAGUCCCUACUACUCGGGAAGCUGAGGUGGGAAGAUUGCUUAAGCUCAGAAGUUCUGGGUUAUAAUGAUUGGGUGUCUGCACUAAGCUUGGCGUCAAUAUGGUGACCUCUUGGGAGUGGGGGAUCACCAGGUUAUCUAAGAAGAGGUGAACCAGCCCAGGUCAGAAACGGAGCAGGUCAAAACUCAUGGGCUGACCAGUAGUGGGAUCACCCCCGUGAAAGCCACUGUAAUCCAGCCUGGGCAACACACUGCAACCCUGUCUCUC
This 289-nucleotide signal recognition particle RNA is filed under the name Callithrix jacchus (white-tufted-ear marmoset). Its description in RNAcentral is "Metazoan signal recognition particle RNA (ENSCJAG00000036225.4)". It matches the Rfam family "Metazoan signal recognition particle RNA". Rfam says of the family: The signal recognition particle (SRP) is a universally conserved ribonucleoprotein. It is involved in the co-translational targeting of proteins to membranes. The record is from Rfam by way of RNAcentral. Lineage: Eukaryota; Metazoa; Chordata; Mammalia; Primates; Cebidae.